RNAcentral lists this unclassified non-coding RNA (2322 nucleotides) under Rhipicephalus microplus (southern cattle tick). Its description in RNAcentral is "dixin-like, transcript variant X2". Lineage: Eukaryota; Metazoa; Arthropoda; Arachnida; Ixodida; Ixodidae. The record is from RNAcentral.
GCCGCGGCGGCAACGAGUCCGACGUCGCUAGCGGGCCGCUAAGGAAGCCCCCCCCCAAGUAGGGCGCUAACGAAGCCGACGCCGUUGGCGUGCUCGGCGCUGUUGUACGUGCGUGCGUGCCUCUCCGGUCUCUGCGUCGUUCUCCGACACCAGCGCGGAGGUCCGAGUGGAAUACCAACGGCAUGUUCUUUAAGUUACUCAGGGGCCAUGGCAGGCAUAGUUCCAGACCUCCGGACAAAUCGAAGAGUGACCGCGACAAAAGCAGCGGCAGUCAUCGCGCGAACGGAACAGCGAAGGUUGCCAUGGAGUCAACAGAAGUUCAGUGUGACGCUUCUUCAAACCCAGAAUCUAGUCCCUUCCUUCACGUUCAAGAUGAACUGCUCUCAAAAGUACCAGGGGCAGAAAGCGAGGCCGCGAGACGGGUUCAUGAAGAAAAUUUGCUGCUUCAGCAGGAGCUCAAGGAGAAGUGCGACUUACUUUCCAAGCUUGAGGAGGAACUCGACCAUCGUGACGACGCAACGACGGCGCUUGAGGUGCUGGAACGGACGGCAACGCCCCUGUCGCUUAACCACCGCCCGCAGCAGCGGGAGGAGCUUCGCGUGACGCAGGAGGCCCUGAGCAGCCUUCGACAGUGCUUCAGGUUGGACGACCCGUACCAGCACACGCUGGACACCAUCGAGCAAUCGCUGUGCACCUUACUCGAACGCGUCACCUGCAUGGAGAAGAUGGCCGCCGCAUCUUCCGCUUGUCCUUCCACGGGUUCACUGAGUGCUGCAUCCGCGCGCCGGCUGAACUUCGACUCGACCGGUGACCCGCGGCGGCUACCAAUCACAACACUUUCCCGGCUACCGCAUCGACCCUCCAACAUCCCUAGGCCACAGCUCUCAGCCACCGAGCACCAAGGUGAUCUACUACACAGAGAGGUCGGUCACCCCGUUCCUGUCAGCCAUUCCCAAAAGACUCAGCGACAUCCGACUUCGAGACUUCAAAGUAGUGUUUGAUCGUCCCGGCCAGUACCGAUAUCAUUUCAAGACACUCGAUCCCGAGUUUGGCAUGGUGAAAGAGGAGGUACUUCACGAUGAUGACCCCGUACCCGGCUGGGACGGCAAGAUCGUUGCUUGGAUAGAGGAGGACAUCUGAGGAACUGCACUGCCGCGCUCCUCCUUUGCUCAGGCAUCGCUCAUCCAUUCAUCUGUACAUAGCGCAUCAUUUGUAAACGUGUGCCUACAAUCUUUAUAGCAACAGUUAUGUUGCCACUUGCACACAUUGUAACUUAUUGAAAGUGCGAGUCAGCUUGUUCACUGUUACGUGGACGUGCCGAAUGAUUGUUCAAGACUUGGUUCGUUGUUUCAACUUCACGAGAAGUUCCGGUGACCUCGGAAUACGUGGACGCGUUCAUAAUUUGUUUGCAGGCCAAGCUAUUCUACCGUUAUGUCCACACAGCAAAAACUUCAAGUACGGUUCUCGAACAUGAAGCCACAACGCAUUCAAACACACUGUCUCAGUACUUCUCUAGAAAAUGUACUUUUGAAUUGAACAGCAUGACAAUAUUGGCCUGAAGUAUGAACCUUGAAGUAUGAAGUACGAAUCUUAAACCAACUCACCCAGCGGCAAGGUUUACCGAACCAAAGUCUUGGCAUGUUUGAAGAAUGUAGUGAUAUAAUGAAAUCUUGGCCUGUUGAAGAAUGAAAAAAGGGGAUGGACUGAACGAAAAGUGUAUAAAGACUGAAUUUCUCAUGCACUCAACCAUCUGGCCUAAACAAACUAAAAAAACAAGUUCGAAGUUGAUAAAUCAGAAAGUGCUAGGCUUUAAUUGAUGUCACCUUUAGUACCAACCUGCCUUGAUUUUCUUUUCUAAUCUACUUUCCUUUUCUUUGUGUAAAAAAAAUUUAUGAAUGCUUUGAAGACUUCAUCUUACUCUAAUGCUAGGUGAUGCUGCUUUUUUGAAGUGAUCGCUUCAAAUAAAGUAAGGCGUUCACACGAGUGGUUUCUGGCAUGUUCAAAGAAAUGUGACUCCACAAAGUAUGGUUGUGUACAAAAACAAACGAGCGUGGUUUCGACUAUAUUUGCACAGCAAAGCCCACAAUUUGAAGGCUGUGCUAUGUAUAUGCGGGCUAUUUGUCACUUUUUAUAGUAGUUUUGUUGUAUCUGAGGAUUUCCUCAAAGCUUUGCUACCAAUGUUUAAAUGUGUCGCCUGCAGGAACGUGUUUCAUAUUGAAAAUGUUUGUAUUUAUCGCAUUGAAAAACUUGCAGUUAAUGAAGCAAAGUGCAAUUUCCAAAGUUGCUGCAUGAAGUGAUAAUAAAAAAAACGUUCAUUUACAA